UCCUCAGCCUAAGAUUAUUACUUUGGAGAAAGGCUCUGAUGGCCUGGGUUUUAGUAUUGUAGGGGGAUAUGGAAGUCCCCAUGGAGACCUGCCCAUUUAUGUCAAGACUAUAUUUGCCAAGGGAGCAGCUGCAGAUGAUGGCAGACUGAAGCGUGGUGAUCAGAUUUUAGCAGUUAAUGGAGAAGCUUUGGAAGGUGUUACUCACGAGCAAGCAGUAGCUAUUCUGAAAUGCCAGAAAGGAACUGUAACAUUAACAGUGUUAUCAUGAAUCUCUUUUGCACAUGUGGAGAUGAAUGCAGUUAUUUUAGAACAUCGUUGUGCUGCUAUAAUAAUGUACAGUCCUGAAUGAGAUGAAAAACAAACUCCAGAUAAGAUUAGUAUAUUCUAAUCCUGUUGCCUGUAUGGCUGGCACACGUCUAUGGUUUCAUUUCGUCUUAUAAAUGAAGCUUAUUGCUCAGUAAUUUUUCUACUUCUUUAGUAUCUUGUGGCUUCUGUUUCCUGUCAACAAAGUUAACUUACAGAACUUUAAUGAACUGUAUGUGUUUUACUUUACUAAACCAUCAGUUUAUCCCCAUCAAUAGGAAAUCCCUGUGAUAGCUGCUGAAAGUGGAAUUAACAUGCAUGCACAAAAGAGAAUUUGGAUCCUCAUCUGAUGAGCAGAAAUAAAUGCUAAGUGACUUGUCAUCUCACUCAUGAUUUACUUAUGCUAAUUGUCCUUUCAAGUAUGUCAGAAAACAUUAACCAUAUUAUUAAAUUACCACUGUUUCAAAUGAUGAAAUAUCAGAUUCUCCUCUGGGAAGGUGUUUGUAUUCUGCACAGUAAGUCUGACAGGCAAAUGCUAACUUUUCAUAUUUAAGUGUCUGAAUAGGUCCAUGCUAGUUAGUGAUUAUUAAUGUGAUGAGUCAAUUUGCAGCUUUUAACAUUUAAAAAAAGGGAGAAGAGUCUAUUUUUGUAGGUCUUUUAAAAUCUCCCUAACAGUCUUUUAAGAUCUGUAUGUGGCAUAUCUGGUUCUGUUCUACUUUUUUUUUUAAUUAAAAAAAAUGUUCUGAAGGGGCCAAGAUGUUCAGUACAGUGCAUUUGUCAUUGUGCUGGCAUGCUAAAUUGUAAGACCAGUGUCCACAGUUAGACUUCUGACAAGGCCAAAGUUUGCUUCCCAUAAUAUGAGUCUAUAAUUCAGGAAUGUGAUAAUUUGUAAGUUGUGAUGCCCACUGGUGCUGAGGUCUAAAUGAAGGAAGACUGAACCAUUUUGCACAUUUUUGGAAAUCUGAGGUCAGUUGGUGUGGGAAAAGGGGCCUUUACUUAUCACAAACAACUAUCUAUCCAGUCCCCUAUGCUUCAAAGUGCUAGAAUCUCUUUUGGGUUUUUUGUUUGUUUGUUUGUUUUUUGUAUAAUGCCACUAAGAGAUUUAGCAAGUGAGUUUGGAAAGCAAAUAAGUGGUAAUGCAGUUUAAUCUUUCUAACUUUGUGGAGACUGGUGGCUUGCAGGGAGUACCUCAGUAUGAUAUAGGGCUAGGAGGGCUAUUUUUUUAUUACACUACAGCAAAAAAAAAAAAAAAAAAGGAAAAGCAUUUAAAGUAUUCUUCAGUAUGUUUAGGUGAAAUGUGAUAUUAGUCUCCUGACUGUAUAAAGAAAAAUAUACUGAAGUGAGGUUAAACGUGAUCAGUAGUAAGCACAGAAGAGGUGAUGAACUCUCAUUAAGAAUGUUGUUUUUCUUAUUGCAUUAAAAAUUUAUCUCUAUUAUAAAUCACAAAGUGCAUUAACUUGAUGGAAUAUUUUGUGGGUAUUCCAUAAAUAGUGCCUGAGAGAUACUUCUGUUUUAAAAUGGAUUUCAUUUCCAUUGUGCUGGUUGAUUUAUUAAUACGAAGUGUUAGUGGAAUCUUGUUUAUAGAUGCACAUCAAACAUCCAUAUGUACUAAAUUGGAAAACUUUUAACUUACCCCCCUUCCAAGUAUGCAGAAGCUAAAUGAACCUAGUUUAAAUUUUGCAAAUGCAUCUUGAUAAAACAGUGUUUCAAGGUUCUGACCAAAAUUUAAUGACUAAUCUGAUCAAAUAAUUAUCAUGAAAAUAUUUGCAACAUUAUUCUAUUAAAUUUUACAUGGCCAUUUGUCGUCUCUUAUGCAUAUACGGUUGAUAUAAAGAAUAUAGUAUUUAUUGGCUGAGAUUUUGCACUUUUCAUUGUUCAAAAUAUUAUUGCUUCUUGUAACUUGCACUUUUUUUGUGUGCUGAGUAUGUUACUGCCAAAAAUUGCAUUGCAACUAACUGAUAAACCAGUGAACAUUAAGGGGAAACAAAUACAGUAUUUAAAGGAUCAAUUCUAUAAUUGAAUUUCAAUAACAAUUGUCCAGGUUGAGGUGUUCUGGCUUGUUAAAACUGUUAUCUACUUCUGUGCAAUGGGGAAAAAACAGCUAAACUUCCUGAUUGUAUGUUUAUGUAUAUCAGUAAAACAAGAUGUUUUAUUAUUUCCAAAGAUUCUAAAUAAAGUUCAGUUACUAAGUA
Molecule: non-coding RNA, 2495 nt
Organism: Pelodiscus sinensis (Chinese soft-shelled turtle)
Lineage: Eukaryota; Metazoa; Chordata; Testudines; Trionychidae
Source: RefSeq, a predicted model, not a curated record